This 67-nucleotide ribosomal RNA is filed under the name Oncorhynchus tshawytscha (Chinook salmon). RNAcentral describes it as "partial 12S ribosomal RNA". The record is from RNAcentral. Lineage: Eukaryota; Metazoa; Chordata; Actinopteri; Salmoniformes; Salmonidae.
CAAAGGCUUGGUCCUGACUUUACUAUCAGCUUUAACUGAACUUACACAUGCAAGUCUCCGCAUUCCU